GGGGGGUUAGUUCAGUUGGCUAGAACGUCUGCUUUGCACGCAGAAGGUCGUGGGUUCGAGUCCCACACUCUCCA
RNAcentral lists this transfer RNA (74 nucleotides) under Myoviridae sp. ctNQV2. RNAcentral's name for it is "tRNA-Ala". It matches the Rfam family "tRNA". Rfam says of the family: Transfer RNA (tRNA) molecules are approximately 80 nucleotides in length. Their secondary structure includes four short double-helical elements and three loops (D, anti-codon, and T loops). Further hydrogen bonds mediate the characteristic L-shaped molecular structure. tRNAs have two regions of fundamental functional importance: the anti-codon, which is responsible for specific mRNA codon recognition, and the 3' end, to which the tRNAs corresponding amino acid is attached (by aminoacyl-tRNA synthetases). tRNAs cope with the degeneracy of the genetic code in two manners: having more than one tRNA (with a specific anti-codon) for a particular amino acid; and 'wobble' base-pairing, i.e. permitting non-standard base-pairing at the 3rd anti-codon position. The record is from RNAcentral. Lineage: Duplodnaviria; Heunggongvirae; Uroviricota; Caudoviricetes.